Long non-coding RNA from Ictalurus punctatus (channel catfish), 9722 nucleotides. The record is from Ensembl. Lineage: Eukaryota; Metazoa; Chordata; Actinopteri; Siluriformes; Ictaluridae.
GGCACUCUCAUCAUCUGCAAUUUGGCAAAAACCUCAGCUAUCCAUCAUCCGUCGUGCCGUACUUUUCUCUCUUCAUCGAUCAGCAGUCAUCACAUUCACUUCCGGUCAUUGGCUCGGAUUCUCUUCAUUCUCUAAUAUUCAUUUGUUAGAUAUCUCGAGCCAACGUUUUCAAACAGGAAGUGUAUUUCCCAGAGAUUCAUUCAUCCGAGUGUGUUCUCAUCUGACUAAAGAACCACACCGAGGACGAGAACACACCACACGUUCUGUUCAAUUGUAGAUCAGUGGUUUUCAAAGUGGGGGCCGCCAGGGGGCGCCCAGGGUGCCUCAACAAUUUGGUGUGAAAAAUAAAUUCUCACUCUCAGACAACCACACACACACAAUCAAUUUCUAAUGUAAUGUAAUGUAAAGAUGUAAGAUGUAAUUAUUAAUUUUUAAAAAAAGAGGAUAUAUUCAGAAGUCUGUAUUUUUAAUGUGUUUUAAAGACAUCUUGCAAAAGGGGGGCCUCGGUCAAAUGUUACUGCCAUUUGGGGGGCCUUGUCCUGGAAAAGUUUGGGAACCUCUGCUGUAGAUCAUGUGUUGUUCAUUCAUAAUGUUUUUGUCAUUUUUUCACAAAAAUCAAACUUGAUCUGCGAUUGUGCGCGCAACACUGAAAAGUCACAUGACCAAAGUUAGCAACCACGAUUGAUCAGCUUAAGCUCCGCCCAUGUCGUAUUGACUGACGACCUGUUUGUAAAUCAGUAAAAAUCAGGAUGUUCUCAUGGCAUGUUCUGACACAGAGAUAAGCGUGUGUGUGAAUUUAAGUAGCGUAGCAUAUCAUAGCAUAGCGUAGCAUAGCAUCUCGCCUACCAGAGUGUCCAGGAUGGACAGAUGGACAUCCAGCAUGAACAUUCUGACAGGCUGAGCUAGGGCUCUCUGCAGGCUGUACACCGGCUUCAUCUCCGUUCCUCCAAUCAGUUCUUCAUCCUUCAGGCCUGCUGUGAUUUAUCCUCCUACUGUUUAUUGCUCUUCUCUUCUCUCUUUCUCUCACCGUCUUCCCUUCUUAUGCAUUAAGUUAUAAAUAAAACGAAAAACAAACAAGACUACAAGGCUUUGCUUCCUUCUCUCUCUUCUCUCACCUUGCUACUACUGUAACAGGUGGCAAGCUGAGGCUUGUCUAAUGCACUGUAAUGCGCUCUCUCUCACACACACAUACACACACACCCUCUAUGAAUAAAAGGUUUCCAGGAAUGCGGAGAUGUGGAAAGAAGCAGGUAUUCAUAACACACACACACACACACACACACACACACACACACAAACAAAGUGUGUGAGAGUACUUCUAGACACAAUUCAAUAAAAUAAAUAAAGAAAAGAAAACAAUUUUGUACCAUUUUAUGAGCUUGUACUUGAUUUUGUGGGGUCUAACUGUGUGUGUGUGUGUGUGUGUGUGUGUGUGUGUGUGUGUGUGUGUGUUUCCAGUUGUUCCAAACCCUGAUGUAAACACAGGACAGAAAUAGAGGUCAGAUGCCUGUUUACAGUCCAAGGAUUUAGCAUUUAGCCUUUAAAGCAUACCCUUAAGAAUUUAGCUAGAUAUUUUCUUUACACGAAAACAUCAUAAAGUCAUUCUCACAAAUAAAAUGACGUGAAUCCUAUAAACAUGUCCACUUUAAACAACAUUCCAGCAAAGGAUUAAGAAAACUAAAGCCAGCUCGCUUCCAACAGAUUCUGAGAUAAGAAACAAAUGAACAAAGUUUUGCUAUUGUUCACCUGUUGGCUAUUUUUGCUAACAGCAACACUUCAGUGUUACAUUACACCUGAAUUCCACUCAAACAAACAAAGAAAAACACCGAUUUGAUUAUCCAAAGACAAUCAGAUCGACCUUGUGCUAAGAUCUUAGCCACCAUUUUCUACCACUCAUGCUAACUGGUGGUUAGCAGAGGGUUACUAGCUUCCAGACUAGCUGCUAGUUUGCAGGCUCGGGUGUAAUCCUCUGCCCUUCUAUUAUACAAGAACCACAAAAGCAAGUGCAUAUAGUGUAAAUUACAAAACAAAGCCAGUGAGAUAUGCUAAACGAUAAAUGACAGAUUCUGAACAGGAUUAUAAGAAAAAUUGUAGAUAUUCCUAGCAAGAGCAAGUUUUCUGAGGAAGUGAGGAAGAGUGAGAAAGAGUGAAGGACGGUUUAAGGUCAUCGUGAUUGAGAAAAGGGAAAUCCUUUUCCUCAGAUGACGCAGAUCGUAGAUCCUAAUGCUAACGACCAUGUCCCUGAACACACACCUUCCUGCCAAAACAGGAAGUGAACUUUCACCUGCCUAGAAAAUUUCUGUGCAUAAUACAAAUCACUCUCCUUAAAGCUAAUUAAUGUUUGCUAGCAUGCUUGCUAAACGUAACCACAGAAACAACUUCUGAAUAAAUUUGGUAGAUUUAUUCCACAGUAUUCGUGACGCUUUUGUCUGCCACGUUUUUUUUGUUUGUUUGUUUGUUUUUGUAUUAUGGGAUAGCAUUCGCAGAAGAAGUGUUAAAAACGAUUAACUGAAACCUUCACUGUUAACAUUCUAGUAUUUUAGCAGUUUUAUAUCAAAAGACAGACACACAUCCAGUCAGAAUAGUAUGUGUGUGUGUGUGUGUGUGUGUGUGUGUGUGUAAAAUGUUGGACAGAUAGAUGAUAGUAAUGUCGGCAGAAUAAAAGGAAAACAGCAUGUGUGUAUAUGGUUGCUGUAAUAAAUAACUACACACCCACACACACCCACACACACGCACACAGAGAUCAAAGUUCAAGGCUAUGAGUUAAAUUAGUUUAGACCAGGCACUGCUUACACACACAUUCAAUAUACGGUAUAAGACCAAGUCAUAAAAGCUCAAUCACAUUUUAUCCAGAGGAAUGGAAAUACACACACGCACCCACACACACACACACACAAUUAAAAAAUUCUCAAUGUAUAUUCUCAGAAAUAUUUUUUUAAAAUAUAGAAUCAUGCAUAUAUCAACAAUAUUAAUCAUGAAGUAACAAAAAAUCUGUUGAAUCUGGGUGCCAAAACUUUUGGUAUUGGUGGACAGAAGGAGAAAAAAAUAACUGUCAUUAUGAAAUAAAACUUGCUUGAUCGCUUAAUAGGUGAACAUUAAAGUUACCCAAUUUUCAUAAAAGACAUUUUUAUUUUUUAACAAUUUUGCUUAAAUCUGAAAGAAAUUUCAGACUUUUUCAGGGAUUUUGUUGCAUUCUUUUAAGAAAUAUCUGAAUAAUCUGAGUUAGUGCUGUCGCAUCAUUUAAAAAAGCCAAUCAGAGUCCAAAAUUAAAAUAUGCACCAAAUACAGUCUCUGAAACAUCAGCUUACCAGGAAAAGGGAUGGGGCUUGGAAUGUUAAGGGAGGGGCCCUGAUUUGCAUAUUCAUAAAAUCUGUAAAGGUAAAACUGUAGCUGCUUCAGUGUGUUUUUUCUGUCAAAUCUCUCUCUCUCUCUCUCUCUCUCUCUCUCUCUCUCUCACACACACACACCCACACACACACAUACACUUUCUGUGCCCACUGUACAAUAUUACCCAGGAUGCACUGCAGGAGGCCUACCAGGAGACAGAUGGAGCAUCAAGUGCAGUGAACAGCAACAUAUGAGCUCGAUUUGCUCAAUUACACCUCGUUACACACACACAUACACACACACAUCUCAGACAGUAAAUCAUCUCCAUCUGUCCAUGACAUCAUCAUGAGUUCAAAACAAAAAGACAGAUAUGAAUCACACAAAGAGCAGAGUGAAGAAGAGGGUGUGGCCUGUGUGUCUGGCAGUCACAGUGAAGGAGGCGUGGCCUGUGUGUCUGGCAAUGAAAUGCUAAUUAAUCUGAUGAGUGAGAACAGCAAUAUGACACACACACAUCCUGACUGAUAGAUCCAAUAUGCCUUUGAGUGUGUGUUUAUGUGUGUGUGUGUGUGUGUGUGUGUGUGUGUGUGUGUGUGCGCAAACAAAUUGACUCAGACAUAAUCAGAAACUCAGGGCAAGAUCGUAUUAAGACCGUUAAUUAAUGACCCAAAACUUCACACUCCAACAAGAAGAGACAAGCUAAUGUGUGUGUUUGUUUGUGUGUUUGCUUGUGUGUGUGUGUGUGUUCGUGUGUGUGUGUGUGUAUGUGUGUCUUUCAUGUGAAAAGAUAGAAACACCCUUCAGUGUAAAUGUCUGUCUAUAUUGGAUCUCUGGCAGCUCAAUAAUAUUACACAAAUAGAUAGAGAACAGACACGCACACACGCACAAACACACACACACACACACACACACACACACACACACACACACACACUGCAUGAAUGGCUUUUGUGUCCUGACAACAAAGACAUUGGCUGAGACAGAAAAAAACGAUCAUUUCUUUCUCUGAAAGACUGAAAUCACAAUGAUGGACAUUCUGGCUCACACACACACACACACACACACACACACACACACACACACAAAGUUAGAAUAAUCAAAGGAAUAAAGAAAAACAAAACAAAAAGAGAACCAUGUGACUCUCAGACAACACCUGGGAGAGUAAGGUGGUUUUGUGGUCUGGCGUGUUGAAUGAAUUAUUGAGUUGCUGUGAGGUGUUUAGACCACCUUAAACACACAUACAACACACAUCUAAUCUACACAUCUGAAACAAAACCACUAACACUGCUGCUAGAGGGAAAAUCCAGCUGUUUGCAUCUGUGUGUGUGUGUGUGUGUGUGUGUGUGUGUGUGUGUUUGUGUGAGGAAAACAGCUCAUCCUCACAGCUGCUGUCUCAAUUUUGCACAACAGUGUGUUCCUGAAACUCUUUGCACAGUUCUGCUCUCUCUCUCUCACACACACACACACACACACACACACACACACACACACACACACACAAAUAUUAACGCAAACACUGACUCAAUAAAAUACACUAAUCAUAACACUCAUACAAUUACAUACACACAAAUACAAUGCUAAAAACUGUAAUACACAUACACAUCAGUACACAGUAACACAAUAAUACACACUGUGAUAUAUACUGUAUCAUACAUACACACACACACACACAUACACAGAGAGUACCCUGUGAAUAGUGUUAUUGAGCUGUAUAGCGCAGGAAUGGUGCACACCCUGGUGGUCAGUGGUGGUAGUAACACACACAGUAAGUGUUUAACACACUGAGUGUUCAGGUUUUUCUGUCUGUCCAGGACAGUGAUUAAACAUUUUACACAACAUUUAUUAAACAAUUAAUUCAGUAAUAAUAAUAAAAAACAAUCCUUAGGGAAAAAAAGCACCAAAGUGUCCCAUGCUUAAAGUGUCCCAUCACCAAUCUGCCCCGACCCCUAUCUGCCCUACCCCCAAACUGCCCCACGCCAAAUCUGCCCCAUAGUCAACAUGUCCUGAUCGCAGAUGAAUUGGAAAAAUGUGAUGGAUGUCACUAACCUCAUCUACCUGCUGCACAUUCAGCUUUCACACAUUUCUACAAUUUAUAUUCAGCUUCAUUCCAUAUUGUGUAAACAUUUACUGAAUGUUUAAACAUUUCAACCUAACAGAAAAGAAGAGGACAAAGAAAGAAAGAAAGAAAGAAAGAAAAACUACCGUUCUGGUCUCUCUGCCUCAGAGAUUAGGAGAUUUGGUACUGUACUCAGUCUCCAUAGUAACUGCGAUGUGUUUGGGGUGCGCACACACACACACACACACACACACACUCCUGAACAGCUGGAGGCAAACCGGUACCUCAGGAGGCUCCAUUGCCAGAGUUUUUGUCUGAAUUGUGGCUGUUUUUAUUUUUCAUAUGAACAGAGACGUAAAGUUCUCAAUCCUGCACUCAUCUUCAUGUAGAAAUGUGUGUGAUUAUAACAGCUUUAUUAUUAUUAUCUUUCUAACAAGAUAAAUAAAUAUUGUGUCAAUAUAUAAAUGUAUAAUAUAAACGUAAAUAUUAUGUAAAUAGAUGAAAAUGUGUUUAUGUGUUCAUUCACUCCUCUGUUCAUGAUCUGUGUUAUCCAGGUCGGAGUCAGAGUCGGAGUCAGAGUCAGAGCAGAGUCAGAGUGGAGACAGAGUCGGAGUGGAAUCAGAGUGGACUCAGAGUCAGAGGGGAGACAGAGUCGGAGUGGAGUCAGAGUGGAGACAGAGACAGAGUCAGAGUGGAGUCAGAGUCGGAGUGGGGUUGGAGUCAGAGAGGAAUCAGAGUCAGAGUGGAGUUGGAGUCAGAGUGGAGUUGGAGUCAGAGUGGAGUUGGAGUCAGAGUGGAGUCAGAGUCAGAGUGGAGUCAGAGUCAGAGUGAAGACAGAGUCAGAGUCGGAGUGGAGUCAGAGUCGGAGUGGAGUCAGAGUCAGAGUGGAGUCGGAGUGGAAGUGGAAGUGGAGUCAGAGUCGGAGUGGAGUCAGAGUCAGAGUGGAGACAGAGACAGAGUCAGAGUGGAGUCAGAGUCGGAGUGGAGUUGCAGUCAGAGUGGAAUCAGAGUCAGAGUCAGAAUGGAGUUGGAGUCAGAGUGGAAUCAGAGUCAGAGUCGGAGUGGAGUUGGAGUCAGAGUGGAGUCAGAAUCAAAGUGGAGUCAGAGUGGAGUCAGAAUCAGAGUGGAGUCAGAGUGGAGACAGAGUCGAGUGGGAGUCGGAGCGGAGUCAGAGUCGGGGCGGAGUCAGAGUCAGAGUGGAAUCAGAGUCAGAGUCGGAGUGGAGUUGGAGUCAGAGUGGAGUCAGAGUGGAAUCAGAGUUGGAAUCAGAGUCAGAGUCAGAGUGGAGUCAGACUCAGAGUGGAGUUGGAGUCAGAGUGGAAUCAGAGUCAGAGUCAGAGUGGAGACAGAGUCAGAGUGGAGUCAGAGUCAAAGUGGAGACAGAGUCGGAGUGGAGCCAGAGUGGAGUCAGAGUCAGAAUGAAGACAGAGACAGAGUCAGAGCGGAGUCAGAGUCGGAGUGGAGUUGGAGUGGAGUCAGAGUGGAGUCAGAGUCAGAGUGGAGUCGGAAUGGAGUUGGAGUCAGAGUGGAGUCAGAGUCGGAGUGGAGUCGGAGUCAGAGUGGUGUAAUUAGUAAUUUAUAUUUUGGGAAACAGACCCAAGUAAAUUAGUGAGAAAUAAUGGUCAUGAGAAACAAACAUAAAUAAUAACUGCUGCAACUGAUAAAAAAUCCAGUCCUGUGUGUCUCCAGCUCGAUGUGUUGAUUUUACAUUCUAUACACUAAUAAUAAACACUUUGUCCAGUUACAUAUGCAUGUGUUUUUGUGUAUGUGUAUGUGUAUGUGUGUGAGUCAGUGUUUAAAGACCAUUCUGAAUUAAACAGAAGAGACCGAGUGUGUUCUAGCGGUUUCUCUAGUGAGAAACUGUAUAUUUGUGAUAAGUGGAACAUCCAAGACAACAGCAGCGCGUCGAUAAAAACUUCACAGAGGAGACAGAGCUGAAGACAAACGUCCUCAGAGAGACAGUGUGUGUGUGUGUGUGUGUGUUGGAGAUCAAAGGUGUGGUGCAUCAUCCAGUUCAUAACGACUCAUCACACACUCGUCAGUGGCGUUAAAGUCAAUAACGAUAAUAAAUCUCAUUUUACACUUUACUCUGUGCUGUUUUCACAACCCACCAUGCUUUGCUUUCCUGAGCAGUAAAGAAGUGGCUGGAGUCAAGCGCCCCCUGGAGGUGUGUCUAUAACAUGACUGACAGCACGGACCUGUUUUUUUUUCUUUUUCUUUGACCUUUUUUUCUUCUUUCACUUGCUUUGGAUUCUACGUUUUUAACAGAUGUUUCUUUGUCAUCACCGAUAUUUAUUUAUUUGUAGUGGUAAGAACAAUUAAAAAAAAAAAAAUCCUCACUGCACCUUUCAGGUCGGACCAUUAUUCCAAACUAGAGACUUUUCUUUCAUUACUACUGAAUCUACUCGUUCUGGAAGCCAUAAUAAGAAACACGGGCCUGUAAUUCUUUUCUGUACACGCUGCACAGCUAACUCCUGAAACAAGAACACAUUGUUAUGCUAAUGACAGCGUUAGCUGCAGUGAGCUUAACACUAACACACACACAGAGUGUUUGAUCCCGUGUAACGAGCUGAAAUUUGUGUGUGUACCUGUGUAUCCAGCAUCAUCAUCAUCACCACCAUCCACAGCUCAUAUCUCCUUCUUCCUCCUCCUCCUCCUCUUGGUCAGUUCUCACGGUCUCGUAGGGUUUCAAUCCAACCCGUCCUCCAGCAGCACUCGGGAAAGCACGCACGCUCUCUGGAACGCACUCCGGAGUGUAACUAGGGGUCAUCAGAGGUCAUCCACUACAAACACAUCCAGCACAGUGAAUGUCCGAGGGGGAGAAAGUGCAAAAAUCCAGCACUGUUUAUUUCACCACCACCACCACCACCCCACCCCCCCUUUAACCCUGAGGAUGAUUAAACGAGACGAGGAUGAGGAAAACUGAGGAAGCACCGAGCUCCAGCUGCACUGGAUUCUGGAAAAGUGCUAAGUGGUUAAGGUUCUGUGCUAUUAAUCAGAAGGUUGUGUGUUCAAAACCCACCGCCAGAGAGCUCUUGCUGAGGAAGAACCCUCAUUCCUCAGGUGAUCAGUUGUGUGCUUUUUGUAAACGUCAGGAAGUCUCCACUGGUGCUGCACUGCUUAUUAAAGAAACCCUGAACGUCUCCAUUUAAUUCCAGCCAGCUCUGAGUUACCCUUUAAAGGAUGCACACGCUCCCACAGCAGCCCAUUCUCCUCAGCAGUGAUCUCAAUUACGGACCUGCUCUAAAAAAAAUUAUAAUAAUUAAAAACCCCAACAGAAACCUUUAAGGUGUCUCUUUUAAUUCCAGAAACGUUGGAUUCUCCCUUUAAAGGACUUGUACAGUUUUCUCGGUAACGCUGCGUCCGGUUUCAGACGAAAUGCAGAUCAGCGCUCAGGUGUGAUCUUGAUUAUAGACCUCACAUCCCUUUACACUUCCAAAAGUGGAAAAGUCAAAAAGUCAAUACAAAUACAUCCCUUUAACUCCAACCACGUCAGACUGGAAUGAAAAAUGAAUUUCUAAAAAAAGAAGAACGUGUAUUCUGAUAUCUGUCCUAGCUGAGAGUCAGACAUUCAGUGUCAAGAUACAAACUGUGGAUCUUCAAAUCCAAAAAUAUGUAGAUUAAUGACGUUCCUUUAAUGACGAUGUAGCUGUAAUUGGUGUCUACCUUUGACCUUUUCAUCUGAGAGGGUACAGGUGAGAUGCUCAGGAUGCAGGUCCGUGCACACUAGAUGAUGCACACUAGAUGAUGCAUACUAGGCCACUUCAUAAAGUCUGCAACAGUGCACAAUCUUCAAUCCAACAACCGAGAUUACAAUCCCGGGUUAAACCCGAGUGUGUGCGGAUUUAAUCCGAGAUAAAUCCAGGUCAGGACAGACAGGACCGAAUGAUGAGGAUGAAGAAGAUGCAGCAGCUUCAUCAUGCCUGGUUCAUCUUUCCAUUUUUUCUCUCUCCGAAUCAUCAACACACCACAUCCCAAAUAUUCAUCCCAUUUUUAAGGCACGGCGCGCGCGUUUCUCCAUCUUUUUCCUUCCUCCAGAUUGUGCUUGAAUUCCAUCUUCUCUCUCUUUUUUUUUUUUUUUUUUUUUUUUUUUUUUUUUUGCUGCUCUGACAAAAUGGACGGCCUCUCUUGCUUUUUUUUCUUAUCUCUCGAGCUCAGUCCGUUUCCACUCCCUUUUAUUUUUCUCCCGCUCCAUUAUCACAUUCUUCCCAUAUGCAAGAAGACAAGAAAACCCUGCAGGAAUGAUAAAUCAGAGAGAAAACGCGUGCAUUCCGGACAAAGUUUGAUGUAUUGAGUCAGAUCCUCUCAGUCAUGUUGUCUGAUACACACAGCUGAGAAGAAC